AUCCCGUGGUGAGGGCAUCUAUGUAGUAGUGCCAUAAAUCAUUCCCAUGCCUCAUAUGGCGACUCGUCAACCAAAUGUUGAAAAGUGGCAAUCUCAUUUCGCAACU
Non-coding RNA from Gossypium raimondii (Peruvian cotton), 106 nucleotides. The record is from Rfam. NCBI's taxonomy places the organism in Eukaryota, Viridiplantae, Streptophyta, Magnoliopsida, Malvales, Malvaceae.